This 73-nucleotide transfer RNA is filed under the name Toxocara canis (dog roundworm). It matches the Rfam family "tRNA". From Rfam's summary of the family: Transfer RNA (tRNA) molecules are approximately 80 nucleotides in length. Their secondary structure includes four short double-helical elements and three loops (D, anti-codon, and T loops). The record is from Rfam by way of RNAcentral. Lineage: Eukaryota; Metazoa; Nematoda; Chromadorea; Rhabditida; Toxocaridae.
GGCCCUGUGGCCUAAUGGAUGAGGCGUAUGACUUCAAAAGAUUGCAUUGCAGGUUUGACCCCUGCCUGGGUCA